This 73-nucleotide transfer RNA is filed under the name Phytophthora clandestina. RNAcentral's name for it is "tRNA-Val". It matches the Rfam family "tRNA". Rfam says of the family: Transfer RNA (tRNA) molecules are approximately 80 nucleotides in length. Their secondary structure includes four short double-helical elements and three loops (D, anti-codon, and T loops). The record is from RNAcentral. Lineage: Eukaryota; Oomycota; Peronosporomycetes; Peronosporales; Peronosporaceae. RNAcentral also lists the same sequence under 5 other names.
GAAUAAUUAACUCAAUUGGUAGAGUAUUUCGUUUACACCGAAAAUGUUAGCGGUUCGAGUCCGUUAUUAUUCA